This 522-nucleotide ribosomal RNA is filed under the name uncultured bacterium. RNAcentral describes it as "bacterial SSU rRNA". It matches the Rfam family "Bacterial small subunit ribosomal RNA", at positions 37 to 537 of the family's 1533-position model. The record is from RNAcentral.
ACGACGCUGGCGGCGCGUUUUAGCAUGCAAGUCGAACGGUAGAAAGUCUUCGGACUUUUGAGAGUGGCGAACGGGUGAGUAACACGUAGGUAAUCUGCCUUUGCGUUGGGGAUAGCCCAUGGAAACAUGGGGUAAUACCGAAUACGAUCUUGGAGAUAUGAGGUUUUCAAGAGGAAAAGUGCUACGGCACUGCGCGAAGAUGAGCCUGCGGCUCAUUAGCUAGUUGGUGGGGUAAAGGCCUACCAAGGCAACGAUGAGUAGCCGGCCUGAGAGGGUGACCGGCCACACUGGGACUGAGACACGGCCCAGACUCCUACGGGAGGCAGCAGCUAAGAAUCUUCCGCAAUGGGCGAAAGCCUGACGGAGCGACGCCGCGUGAACGAAGAAGGCCGUGAGGUUGUAAAGUUCUUUUCUUGGGGAGGAAUAAGGCUUGUAGGGAAUGACAGGCCGAUGACGUUAACCGAGGAAUAAGCCCCGGCUAAUUACGUGCCAGCCGCCGCGGUAAUACAAGCCGAAUUCCAA